GUAGUCUCGCACAGAUGCAUAUCAAUAAGCGGAGGAAAAGAAACUAACAAGGAUUCCCCUAGUAACGGCGAGUGAAGCGGGAAGAGCUCAAAUUUGAAAUCUUAAAGGGUUUCCCUUUACGAAUUGUAGUUUAAAGAAGUGUUUUCUGUUGAGGUUUUGGUAAAAGUUCUUUGGAAUAGGACAUCAUAGAGGGUGAGAAUCCCGUAUUUGACCUUUACUUUCAACUUUGUGAUACACUUUCAAAGAGUCGGAUUGUUUGGGAAUGCAGUCCAAAAUGGGUGGUAAAUUUCAUCUAAAGCUAAAUAUUGGCGAGAGACCGAUAGCGAACAAGUACCGUGAGGGAAAGAUGAAAAGAACUUUGAAAAGAGAGUUAAACAGUACGUGAAAUUGUCAAAAGGGAAGCGUUUGACACCAGUGUUGUUUUUCUGAAAAUCAAUUAAAGAACUGUUUAUGCUAAGUUGUUUAGACUUUAUCAGCUAACUGUUUAGUUUUGAGCUUUUCUUUAAUGCACUUUUCAGUUUAACAAGUCAACAUCAAUUUCUUUUGCUGUAAAAAAGCUUGAGGAAGGUGGCUUGAGAUUCGUCUUAAGUGUUUAUAGCCUCUUGCCUAUGCAGUCGGAGAGAUUGAGGUCUGCAGCGUAGAUCCUUCGGGGCUAAAUGCAUUUGUGCUAAGUUAUAGCAUUUUAUAGACAACUUGUUGACUAUGAUUUGUCUUGUAGCUUACUCGCUUAUGUUAUUUUACCUACGCUUAGGAUGUUGAUCUGUAGUGCGUGCGCC
Molecule: ribosomal RNA, 776 nt
Filed under: uncultured Neocallimastigales
Lineage: Eukaryota; Fungi; Neocallimastigomycota; Neocallimastigomycetes; Neocallimastigales
Description: partial large subunit ribosomal RNA
Rfam family: Eukaryotic large subunit ribosomal RNA
Source: RNAcentral